CAAUAGCGUAUAUUAAAGUUGUUGCGGUAAAAAAGCUCGUAGUUGGAUUUCUGUUGAGAGCGACCGGUCCAUACCAUGUAUGCGUAUCUGGCUUGCUCUCGGCAUCCUCUCGAUAGACGUUGCUGCGCUUGAUUGCGUGGCGCGGAUCUCGGGACUUUUACUUUGAGGAAAUUAGAGUGUUCACGGCAGGCUUUCGCCAGAAUACAUUAGCAUGGAAUAAUACUAUAGGAUCUUGGUUCUAUUUUGUUGGUUUCUAGAAUUGAGAUAAUGAUUAAUAGGGACAAUUGGGGGCAUUCGUAUCAACACGUCAGAGGUGGAAUUCUUGGAUUGUGUUGCGACGAACUACUGCGAAAGCAUUUGCCAAGGAUGUUUUCAUUGA
This 379-nucleotide ribosomal RNA is filed under the name uncultured eukaryote. Its description in RNAcentral is "partial 18S ribosomal RNA". It matches the Rfam family "Eukaryotic small subunit ribosomal RNA", at positions 592 to 976 of the family's 1831-position model. The record is from RNAcentral.